AGUCGACGGUAACAGGGACUUCGGUCCGCUGACGAGUGGCGCACGGGUGAGUAACGCGUGGGUUACCUGCCCAUAAGUGGGGAACAACUUGGAGAAAUCCAAGCUAAUACCGCAUAAUACCUUCGGGUUAAAGAGGGGGAUCUUCGGACCUCUCGCUUAUGGAUGGUCCCGCGUCUGAUUAGCUAGUUGGUAGGGUAAUGGCCUACCAAGGCAAUGAUCAGUAGCUGGUCUGAGAGGAUGAUCAGUCACACUGGAACUGAGACACGGUCCAGACUCCUACGGGAGGCAGCAGUGGGGAAUUUUGCACAAUGGGCGAAAGCCUGAUGCAGCGACGCCGCGUGCGGGAAGAAGGCCUUCGGGUUGUAAACCGCUUUCAACAGGGAAGAAGGAAUGAGAGCUAAUACCUCUCUGCCUUGACGGUACCUGCAGAAGAAGCACCGGCUAAUUUCGUGCCAGCAGCCGCGGUAAUACGAAAGGUGCAAGCGUUGUUCGGAUUUACUGGGCGUAAAGAGAUCGUAGGUGGCUUGUUAAGUCGGAUGUGAAAUCCCGGGGCUCAACCCCGGAACUGCAUCCGAUACUGGCAGGCUUGAGUUUGGGAGGGGUAAGCGGAAUUCCGUGUGUAGCAGUGAAAUGCGUAGAUAUACGGAGGAACACCUGAGGCGAAGGCGGCUUACUGGACCAAUACUGACACUGAGGAUCGAAAGCGUGGGUAGCAAACAGGAUUAGAUACCCUGGCAGUCCACGCCCUAAACGAUGUCAACUAGCCGUUGCGGGUAUCGACCCCUGCAGUGGCGCAGCUAACGCGAUAAGUUGACCGCCUGGGGAGUACGGUCGCAAGAUUAAAACUCAAGAAGUGACGGGGGCCCGCACAAGCGGUGGAGCAUG
RNAcentral lists this ribosomal RNA (885 nucleotides) under uncultured bacterium. Its description in RNAcentral is "bacterial SSU rRNA". It matches the Rfam family "Bacterial small subunit ribosomal RNA", at positions 60 to 941 of the family's 1533-position model. The record is from RNAcentral.